UCUUUCGAAUUACUGUGGUGGUAACACGUACACCUUUUAUAUGGUCUGGUUCCCGCGGUGGUUCUUCCGUGUGCAGCAGGGCGCUGCGUAGCUAUUUAGACUAAUGUGUUUUUCUUUCCGGUGCUUUGGUGGUCGGCUGUGCUGGUAAAUCACUUGGGUGGAGGUAGCCAAAAGAUGGGUGGAGCGGUGCUGGGCCAACCGUGGGCAGUAGCUGUCGGUUCCAUGAGAAUUGGUCAAAACGGUGGCUCCUCCCGUGGAAUAAUCGAGAUGGCCCAUCCUAUUCUUCUCUCCCCAAUCUCCACCAUGUCUUGUAUCUUCCAAUGAAUAUCUCCACACAAUUUCUAGAACUUGAGUGGAGGUCGCCGGCGAUGAGUCGUCCAGCCAUGUUCAUCCCGGACUUGGCCGCCCCUCCCGCUCCAUGCUCGAGUUCCCUCCUCGAUGCAGCAACUCAUCCUUCCGACGAACAGCUGCCGCCAUGCUCCCCGCCGCCUCUGGCCGGCGCGGCUCCCCAAGUACGAGUAUGCCUUGCUCCUGUCUCCGGCCACUUCUCGCAGGCGGGAGCCUCACCAGCACACCGCUCAGCCCCUUCUCCACUCGUUUGACGCCAUCUGCGCGCGGAUGCACCGCCGCCGUCUCCGGGCUCUACCUCCGCGUCCAUGCAAAAAAUUGUGCUGCCAUGUAGUUCCAGCUGCUGGAUAUGGUUCACCCUCGAGUGGUGCAGAUACACAGGUUAUUAAGAGAGUUUUGAUGUCUCACGUUGGGUUUAGAGUUCAGUGCCUUAGAUCACCAUGAUGCCUAUUUCUGGGGUGUUCUGUACGUGGUCUUGAUGCAAAGACAGAGAACAAUAUGGUCCGUAACUACAAGGUUCUCUAGGAUGUCUUCAACAAGCUGGAGACAAGAAAGGUACCUGCGUUAGGCCUUUCCAUUUUUCCUAUGGUCCAUGAAUUUCUCAUGAUUUAGUCUUGCAGUCGUUGUGUAUGCAUCUAUUGUGUUGAGAUUCAACCUAGAACAUAUUCCUGAUGUUAGUACAUGGUAAUGGUCAGAUAAUCAUCUGACAGUGCAGAUUGACUAUGUACAACUAUCCAUGUUGUAGAUUGGUUCAUAAUAAUUUUGGAGAACAGAGAUUUGUUCUAAUGCUUUCAAGUUGUGCUCUCUAUUCCUGAUUCCGAUGUUGGAAGCGUUGCAACCAUCUUCACUAUAAGAGGCUUUUCCCCAUUUUUUGUCGGGUCUGUUAUCUAUUUCUGUAUUGAUUAUCACAGAUGGAGCUUCUGAUGAUAGAUCAUAUGAUAGGUUCUGCAAUCUCCCAACAGCGAAAGAUUAUAUCACUGAAGAUAUCUUUUCACAGUCAUCAAAAGUAGUAUAUGUGUAUGUUUUUCUUCGCUUCUAUAGCACACCUCUUCUAGCAUAGGACAUAGUUGUUGAAGUGAAUUGCUCCAAAAAAAAAAUCCAUAUGAGGAGAUUUCGUUCCUGUAGGUCCGUGCACCAAAGCUGGAGAUGCUAACGAAUUGCUUCUGUGGCACCGCCAUAUUCUUAUUCAUAUAUUUGUGUACUAGAACUGCUAAUUACCAUAGAUUUUACUGUGUGACAAAGUUACUUAAUCAUCUCUAUAGAGGUCCGUCAGAUUGAGAGAUGAGACCACCAAAACCAUAGCAGUAUUUCCCUGUAAAAAGCCAUUAAUCAUCCCUAUAAAGACCAUUUUGACUAAAAUAUGAGAUCACCAAAAAUUCCUAUGCAUUAUCUGUUCUACACCAAUUUUCUGAAUUGGCAGCAAUAGAUUAUCCAAGAGGACAUUAUUUGAAUUUUUUUUACCUUAUUUCCUCAUGGAUAUUGCUCAUAUAGGUAUAAUAUUAACAUCAAUAUUUUCCAAUGCACAUAUUGCUCAUAUAGACUCAUGUGCCUCCGGAAUUGUGACCCCAGCAGGAGAUUGUAUAGUCGCUGAAUAGUCGCCGAGUCGUUUUCCAAAAAUCACGGCGUCUCGCGACUAUACAUCGACUUAUGGCAACUAUACAACUUUUCUGGUCGACUAUACAUGAGUCGCAGCCUCGGGCAACUCACUUUUGAGUCGCCACUCAAAAACCAUGUGCCAAACAGAUCUACAUGUUAUGUCAACCAUUUUGUUGCAGAAUUUUACUAUUUCAAUCCUAGCAUGCAGUAUGAUCUGUGGGUAGAGCUUAGUAGGCAGUCUCUUAAUAUUUGUGACAGCAUAGCCUUUUUAAUAUAGAUUUUUUAAUAUUUGUGAUAGCAUAGCCUUUUUAAUAUAGAUUUUGGUGAUAAUGUAUUUCAGAGAGCCCUUUUGUAGAAGGAUAGAACUGAUAUCUAAGCAACUCAUAUAUUUUUAGAGUCCAGUGAAGAGUGCUUCUCUUCCUAGAUUUCCCUGCCGAGCAAUGGUCAUGAUUUCACCACAAAGCUGAACUUCUAGGCGUGAUAAGGUACCGCCCUAGGAAGGCUACAGGGGUUACAAACAGAUCAUUCAGCGAACUGCUCUCGGGACAUCUUACUUCCUUAAAAAUGAUUGCUUGAAGAUAUAUUGCACUCUAGGUAUUGUUGUGUCAACUAUUGAUUACUCCAGGCCACACUCCAUUCAGGUACCAGACUUCAACAUUACCUACCGGUAAGGCAUCAUCAUUUAGCGUUGGCAGGGAGCGCCAUAUAUGUUUAAGUGCAGUUGCUCUCAAAAAAUCCAUAUAUGUUCAAGUGAAGAUCCUCUCAAAAAAAUUAGUAGGUAUAUAUAGUGCCCGUAUGCUAUUCUUAUGUUUUAGUCUGGCAUGUAAGUGGAUCCAGAAUUAGAGCAGACUGCAAUCUAUGUGUGGUUUAUUAUAUGUGUAGCGUUGGAUGUUUGUAGUUCAUAGUCUUGAUCAGAUUUCACAAUUAAUUAUUCUUACAUGCUAUGAAAUUUGAAAUCUAACUGUGUUAUAUCAAAUCCAAGGACCAAUGCAGUAUGCGGAAGAAAAGAAUCAUGCAUCAGUUGACCUUGGUACUAAGCACCAACAGGUAGAGAGAGGUAACCCAAUCAGGAAGAAAAGAAUCAUGCCGAUUUGCAAACGAAUCAUGCAUCAGUUGAGCUUAGUACUAAACACAUAAAGUAAAUUUUGUACAUGCCGGUUUGCAAAAGUAUAAAGGAAACACAUGCAGUAAAUUUUGUACAUGCCAGUUUGCAAAAGUUUUAGUACUGAUGGUAACCCAAUCUGGCCUAUUUUGUUCUCUUAAGCAAUUAGAGAGCUUGGAAGCACAUCUAGCUAGCUUAGGUUUCCACGAAAAUGAUUCAGUCACCGUGGGUAUUAAUUCCAGUGGAGGGUUCCCUUUGUGCAUCAUUAUAUCACAUAUAAGUUAUGCAUUGCGUCUAUACAAUCUCCUGCUGGAUGCCACUGAAUUGUUUUCAUGCAUUAUCAUUUUCUAACAUGAUUUGGCAUGGUACAAGACACUUCUUUCCCUAACGGUAAAACAAUAGUGUGAAUGUCAUUGUUUCAGUUGUAGGUGAGGCAUUGCACGACUUGAUCCUUUAUCACCUUGGUUAUGUAUAUUUUCUCUUUUGUUUCUCCUUUCUUCAUACUUUUCCUCUUCUCUAUUUAUUUAUCAAAUCAAGUUGUUUCAGUUCUUGACUUUCAUUUAGAUUAAGCAAGAUACAUCUUCUCACCGCAUUGUCUAGCUUGUGAUUUUGAUUUAUGAGUAUCGAUGCUAAAACUGUUGGAAGAAUAAUCAUGCAAACGUCCAUGCUGAAAGAUUUCUCAGCUCCAUGAUACCAAUAAUGUGUUGUUUGCAUGAAUACAUGGUUCAAACAACUCAACAACAGCCAUACGAGCUAGAUAUUAUUGUCGAUGACCAAGAGGCAUCUUCUGAAAACUAGACACUUGGCUUGUUUACUGUCAAAAACAAUAUGUAACCAUCUACAUCUUCACUUGGUUAUUUAUAAUAAUUCAGCUUUAUGCAUCCUACUUUCUGUGCCAUGCUAUCAUAAUAAAAUAAGCUAACUUUAUCCUCAUUUUAUUAUAGGCAUGCAACGCUCUAUCCAUGUCCAAACAGAGGCCAAGUUAAUAACGUCAUAUGCCUCCGCACUACACUUCCGAAUUGUAUUUCUACAUUGUUUCUAGAUACCCUAUUUCCAUGAAAUGGUUGGGGCCUUGAUUUGAAUAGGCGAGCUCAUGCUAGAGACCAAAGAAAAAAAGCACAUAUCAGGCAUACCCCUGAGGAGUCGGUCCAGUUUAAACUUAGAUACCAAAGCCAUGCAAGCCGUCUAUGCUUCCUACCAGAAAGAAGUAGACACGGAAGGAAGGAGAGCGUCGUCUCGACUGGAUAGAUGUCAGCUGCCCAAAUGAUGCCGAAGCCGAGCCUUCCUCAAGGAGGUCACAUGUGGUGAUGUUCCUUAACAUAAUAGGCAAAUGCAUGGAAAUCAUCGUCCUAUCCCUUGAUUGCAAGGACAACUUGACAAGUACUCAUGGUUUUGCAAGUAGAAAGAAUCAAAUAAUCAUCCCGGCAUGGUGUUCUACUGUGUUUUUAGGCUCUGGCUAUUAUCAAAUGUGUGUCAUGUUUUAUAUUUAAUUGUAUUGUUCCAUCUAUGCUCAAUGGUGUAAUGAAAAUUAUGACGAUAUACAAACAUAUCAGCUAAUCUGCACAUUAAUACA
This is a long non-coding RNA of Lolium perenne, 4619 nucleotides long. RefSeq lists it as uncharacterized. NCBI's taxonomy places the organism in Eukaryota, Viridiplantae, Streptophyta, Magnoliopsida, Poales, Poaceae. The record is from RefSeq and is a predicted model, not a curated record.